Molecule: long non-coding RNA, 366 nt
Organism: Homarus americanus (American lobster)
Lineage: Eukaryota; Metazoa; Arthropoda; Malacostraca; Decapoda; Nephropidae
Exons: 3
Source: RefSeq, a predicted model, not a curated record
GUCAGAGAAACAACAAACUUCGUUGCCACUCAGAACAACAAACUACAAUGCCACUCAGAAAACUUCAGCUACAGUCACUGCUACAACAUAAUGAAGGUGCCAUAAAUACCGAGGUUGUGACGGUAUUAAUUAUGAACAAGUGACACUGAUUCAGCUCAGUCCGGUAUUCCUUCAGUAUUAUACAACACACAAGAAUAUAUACCAUGGUAACUGCCGUGGAGAUUAACAACACUUAAAAACGACAUCUCUGGUGGGUUUAGGCUUAGCUAUUAAGAAACAUCAACAUCGUCCACCGAACAUCAGCAGAGUGUCAAGGCUUCACCAGCUGUCGGUUGUCAUAGCAGGAAUACAGAAGUAGUGAGGUAA